RNAcentral lists this transfer RNA (74 nucleotides) under Albula glossodonta (roundjaw bonefish). It matches the Rfam family "tRNA". From Rfam's summary of the family: Transfer RNA (tRNA) molecules are approximately 80 nucleotides in length. Their secondary structure includes four short double-helical elements and three loops (D, anti-codon, and T loops). Lineage: Eukaryota; Metazoa; Chordata; Actinopteri; Albuliformes; Albulidae. The record is from Rfam by way of RNAcentral.
GUCUCUGUGGCGCAAUCGGUCAGCGCGGUCGGCUGUUAACCGAAAGGUUGGUGGUUCGAGCCCACCCAGGGACG